This 2547-nucleotide long non-coding RNA is filed under the name Homo sapiens (human). Its description in RNAcentral is "HSALNT0396097". Lineage: Eukaryota; Metazoa; Chordata; Mammalia; Primates; Hominidae. The record is from RNAcentral.
UUUUUUUUUUUGAGAUGGCUGCAGUCCAGUGGUAUGAUCUCGGCUCACUGCAACCUCUGCCUCCUGGGUUCAAGCAAUUCUCCUGCCUCAUCCUACUUAAUAGCUGGGAUUACAGGCAUGUGCCACCACGCCCAGCUACUUUUUUUGCAUUUUUAGUAGAGACGGGGUUUCACCAUAUUGGCCAGGCUGGUCUCGAACUCCUGACCUUGUGAUCUACCCACCUCGACCUCUCAAAGUGCCGGGAUUACAGGCGUGAGCCACUGCACCCAGCCAUAUUUGUAUUUUUAGUAGAGAUGGGGUUUCACUAUAUUGGCCAGGCUGGUCUCAAACUCCUGACCUCGUGAUCCGCCUGCCUCGGCCUCCAAAGUGCUGGGAUUACAGGCAUGAGCCACUGCGCCCAUGCCCAGCUAAUUUUUUGUAUUUUUUUUUUUUUUUGUAGAGGCAGGGUUUCUCUAUGUUGCCCAAGCUGGUCUUGAACUCCCGACCUCAAGUGAUCUGCCCGCCCCGGCCUCCCAAAGUGCUGGGAUCACAAGCGUGAGCCACCGCACCUGGCCCUUCCUCUGAGGCCUUCGUCUCCAAGAAUCCAGCAAAGUGACAAUAAUGAAAAUAAUGUCACUAAAGGGCCAGCACCACAGAAGAAAUCUCACUGGAACACCUGACUUCAAGUGUGACCUUGAAUCUCACUGAGCUCUCAAAUGUAACUGCCAGUUCCCCAAAAUGUGAGGAACUGAGAAACAGGGUGAAGAGCAGUGGCAUGAUCUUGGCUCAUUGCAACCUCCACCUCCUGGGCUCAGGCAAUCCACCUCAGCCACUUCCAUAGCUGGGACUACCAGCAUGUGCCACCAUGCUCAGACAGGAUCUCACUCUGUCACCCAGGCUGGAGUGCAGUGGCACAAUCUUGGCUUACUGCAGCCUCAACCUCCUGAACUCAAGUGAUCCUCCCACCUCAGCCUCCUGAGUAGUUGGAACUGCAGGCUGGAGUGCAAUGGCACAAUCUCGGCUCACUGCGACCUCCAUCUCCCAGGUUCAAGCGAUACUCCUGCCUCAGCCUCCCAAGUAGCUUGGAUUACCGGUGCCCACCACCACGUCGAGCUAAUGUUUGUAUUUUUGGGACAGACAGGGUUUUACCAUGUUGUCCAGGCUGGUCUCGAUCUCCUGACCUCAGGUGAUCCACCUGCCUCGGCCUCCCAAAGUGCUGGGAUUACAGGUAUGAACCACAUGUGCCCAGCCCAAAAGCUACAAUUUUAUCCUCAACAGUCUGGUUCCCAAGUCUAUGCUCUUAAAAAGGUAACCCCCAUUCUCUCCCCUAAAAAGUCUCAACAGAGGGAGGAGUUGUCAACAAAUAUAUAGCAGAUCUUGCCCUAGAGUCUCCUGAAACAAAAGGUAGACUGAGUGUAAAUAAAGCUCUAGCCCAGUCCAGCCUAGCUCAAUUCCUGAUUGGACUGAGGUGAUCAGCCUGUUAUCCUAUCUGCCUAAGAGAGGGAAAGGACACUUCUCACUGGGCAAAGAUGACAUUGCUUCAUCCCUAUGGUUCUUUUUUAUACAAUGUCCAGAAUAUAAUAAAAAACUACAAGGCAAGGGAUGAGGCAGGAAAAUGUGGUGGAUAAGAGAGAAAAAGAGACAACAGAAGCAGACACAUGGAUGAUCAAAUCUGGAAGUCAGCAAACAGAAACUUUUAAAGUUAGAAGAAAAGAUGAGCAAAAAUGAGACAAAAGAUGGAGAAUUUCAACAGGGAAUUGGGAUCUACAAAAAAAUCACAUGGAUAUUUUACACUGGAAAAAAAUAUAUAAUAUCUGAAUUUUUUUUUUUUUUUUUUUUGAGACGGAGUCUCGCUCUGUCGCCCAGGCUGGAGUGCAGUGGUGCGAUCUCAGCUCACUGCAAGCUCCGCCUCCCGUGUUCAUGCCAUUCUCCUGCCUCAGCCUCCCGAGUAGCUGGGACUACAGGCACCCACCACCAUGCCCAGCUAAUUUUUUGUAUUUUUAGUAGAGACGGGGUUUCACCAUGUUAGCCAGGAUGGUCUCGAUCUCCUGACCUCGUGAUCUGCCUGCCUCAGCCUCCUGCAGUGCUGGGAUUACAGGCAUGAGCCACUGCGCCCGGCCUAAUAUCUGAAAUUAAGAACUCAACGGAUGGGGUCAACAGGACACUGGGCACAACAGAAGACAUAAGUGGUGAACUCAUAGACAAGUGAACAAAAAACUUCCCAGUUGGAUUACAGAGAGGAAAGAAUGGAAAAAACAGAACAGGACAUAACAGAUGUGAUCAAAAGGCCUAAUAUAUGUGUAAUUGGAGUCCCAGGAGUGAAGAGUGAAAAUGAGGCAGAAAAAAAUUCAAGUGAGAAUGGCUAAGAAUUUCCCCAAACUGAUGAAAGGCAUCCACCCACAAAUCCCAAUUUUGUACUUCCAACCACUGUUAUACCACCCCCCUCAACAAUGCCUAUAAAUGUUUGUUGAAAAUGAGUGAAUGAAUGUACUCCAAUCAUUUUCUCACUUGGAUGUUCCCUACUUUUUGCUCUUCUUAGAAAAUAAUAAAUGGUACAAUAAUAUCUCC